GUGCUCACUUCGCAUCACAUAUCCUAAAAUUGGAAUGAUAUAGAGAAGAUAGCAAGGAUGACAUGCAAAUUCAUGAAGCAUUCCAUAUUUUU
RNAcentral lists this small nuclear RNA (92 nucleotides) under Meriones unguiculatus (Mongolian gerbil). The record is from RNAcentral. Lineage: Eukaryota; Metazoa; Chordata; Mammalia; Rodentia; Muridae.